This 77-nucleotide transfer RNA is filed under the name Actinomycetota bacterium. Its description in RNAcentral is "tRNA-Pro". It matches the Rfam family "tRNA". From Rfam's summary of the family: Transfer RNA (tRNA) molecules are approximately 80 nucleotides in length. Their secondary structure includes four short double-helical elements and three loops (D, anti-codon, and T loops). Further hydrogen bonds mediate the characteristic L-shaped molecular structure. tRNAs have two regions of fundamental functional importance: the anti-codon, which is responsible for specific mRNA codon recognition, and the 3' end, to which the tRNAs corresponding amino acid is attached (by aminoacyl-tRNA synthetases). tRNAs cope with the degeneracy of the genetic code in two manners: having more than one tRNA (with a specific anti-codon) for a particular amino acid; and 'wobble' base-pairing, i.e. permitting non-standard base-pairing at the 3rd anti-codon position. RNAcentral also lists the same sequence under 1 other name. Lineage: Bacteria; Bacillati; Actinomycetota. The record is from RNAcentral.
CGGGCAGUAGCGCAGGUUGGUAGCGCGCCUCGUUCGGGACGAGGAGGUCGUGGGUUCAAAUCCCGCCUGCCCGACCA